GGUCUCGCAACGAACACCUGCCUCUCUCUCACACCCUCUGUGGUGUACUCCACCUGGACUAUGUAAAUAGUUUGGUGGGUUUCUUUGGUUAUUAUUAGUUUUUUUCUUUUUCAAAUUAGCCCAAAACGUCUAUUCUUGCAGAC
This is a non-coding RNA of Caenorhabditis elegans, 143 nucleotides long. Lineage: Eukaryota; Metazoa; Nematoda; Chromadorea; Rhabditida; Rhabditidae. The record is from Ensembl.